AGAUUGAAAAUAUUAGAAGAAAACAUAACUACCUGCCUUUCAUUAUGGAAUUAUUAAAGACUCUAGCAGAGCACCAACAGUUAAUACCAUUAGUAGAAAAAGCGAAAGAAAAACAGAAUGCCAAGAAAGUUCAGGAGGCCAAGUGAAGAAGAUGACUUUGCAAAAUACAUACAAUUAUGUGCUUCUGAAACUGUUUUCUUGACAACAAAUAAAACUUUUCAGAAACAAAAUUUUAAGUCUUGUCCAGCGCACGUUUGACAAUUGUAACAGUUUGUCUUGUACUGUAUGCACGGGUCUCAUUUUCUUCCUUCCCUUGCAUCUUGUGCAUGUAGUACUGCUAAAUAAUGUUUAGGUUCUCUUGGUCAAAUCCAAUAUUUAACAGUUUAUCUGAUUUCUAAAAGCUUGGGAAGUGGACCUAGAAAUAUGCAAGGAAAAUGUACACGUUUUGUCCCACUUGAAUAUAUGGUAAUGAUGCAAAUGCCAGAGUAUAAGUAUAAGCAUGAGCUUUCUUUGCUCAUCCCUACUAACAAUUACAAUAUUAUCCAAUUGUUCAGUGACAUACCCUGUGUCUUUUUUUUUUUAUGAAGUAUGUGUCUAAUUUUUUUACAAAAUUGAAAGGUAUGAAUUUAGUUGUAGAAACAUUUGCAAAGACCAAUGUAUAAUCUCAAAAGAUCUGCAUUGCUUUAGUAGAAAAGAUAAUAAAUAUUCCCAUUUUUAUUUUGGCAAA
Long non-coding RNA from Apaloderma vittatum (bar-tailed trogon), 727 nucleotides. RefSeq lists it as uncharacterized. NCBI's taxonomy places the organism in Eukaryota, Metazoa, Chordata, Aves, Trogoniformes, Trogonidae. The transcript is spliced from 2 exons. The record is from RefSeq and is a predicted model, not a curated record.